GAUGAACGCUGGCGGCGUGCCUAAUACAUGCAAGUCGAGCGAACAGACGAGGAGCUUGCUCCUCUGACGUUAGCGGCGGACGGGUGAGUAACACGUGGAUACCCUACCUAUAAGACUGGGAUAACUUCGGGAAACCGGAGCUAAUACCGGAUAAUAUAUUGAACCGCAUGGUUCAAUAGUGAAAGACGGUUUUGCUGUCACUUAUAGAUGGAUCCGCGCCGCAUUAGCUAGUUGGUAAGGUAACGGCUUACUAAGGCAACGAUGCGUAGCCGACCUGAGAGGGUGAUAGGCCACACUGGAACUGAGACACGGUCCAGACUCCUACGGGAGGCAGCAGUAGGGAAUCUGCCGCAAUGGGCGAAAGCUUGACGGAGCAACGCCGCGUGAGUGAUGAAGGUCUUCGGAUCGUAAAACUCUGUUAUUAGGGAAGAACAAAUGUGUAAGUAACUAUGCACGUCUUGACGGUACCUAAUCAGAAAGCCACGGCUAACUACGUG
Molecule: ribosomal RNA, 497 nt
Filed under: uncultured bacterium
Lineage: Bacteria
Description: partial 16S ribosomal RNA
Rfam family: Bacterial small subunit ribosomal RNA
Source: RNAcentral